This 242-nucleotide long non-coding RNA is filed under the name Vulpes vulpes (red fox). RNAcentral's name for it is "lncRNA (ENSVVUG00000015264.1)". Lineage: Eukaryota; Metazoa; Chordata; Mammalia; Carnivora; Canidae. The record is from RNAcentral.
UGAGGUUGCAAAACAAGUAACUGUCAUGGGGCAAAAAUAGGCCAGGAAAGUUUAAACUAAAAGUUAAUGUAGAAACAUCACUUUAAGAAGCUAUGAUGUCUCCAGGUAGUGUGAAGAACAAGUUAUAGAAGUUUGGCAAGUCGUCCAUCCUAUGGCCAAGAAUAUGAAUAUAAACUAUGAGAACAGGAGCUAUAUCCCCAGAAAGUGCCACAAUACCUGCCACAUGUAGGAUCUUAAUAAAU